CUAUAUAAACUGCUUCCAGACACGGUUCGGCCUUUCUGUCCGUGUGUGGAGAGGAUGACAAUGUGGCAGAGAAGUUGUGAAGAUUAAAACCAGAACGGGAUUUUUGCCUCGUGUGAUCCAUGUCUGUGCAAAACAAUGCGAACCUUUGAUCGGGUUUUUGUUUCCGUUGUGAGCUGAAAGGAAAUCGUGCCAUGUGCGGCGGUUCCGUGACCCGAGCACGUGGGUUGGCUAGGAUACGAGUAAUGGAGGACGAUCAAAGUGGGGUUGGCGGAUGAUCGGUUCCUUCAAACCACUUGCGAAUCAAAAGAUGGACCACAACAAUCCCGAGAGUCGCGAAGAAGCUUGAUGCUGAGUUAGCAGUUAUAUGCUAAUGACGGGCAAUCGGAGCAAUACGCCCAUCGACCAAGUGGCUCACUGCAGGUAAUCUACUCCUGUUCACUGGCGUGUUAUUUGAGGUGUGCUGUUAAUGAAGGCUAAAGCUUAAUGGAUCAAGUCAUUCUAAUGAUCCAGCAAAAGUUAUUUUUAUUUUUUUUUUAUCUGGUUUAUUUUACCUGUAAAUGUUUGUUCCUGAUGUAGGACAUUUCAAUGUAUUAUCUGUAUAUUAAAUAAAGACCUAAUGGUGCAAACAUUUAAA
Fundulus heteroclitus (mummichog) is the source of this 634-nucleotide long non-coding RNA. RefSeq lists it as uncharacterized. NCBI's taxonomy places the organism in Eukaryota, Metazoa, Chordata, Actinopteri, Cyprinodontiformes, Fundulidae. The transcript has 5 exons. The record is from RefSeq and is a predicted model, not a curated record.